RNAcentral lists this ribosomal RNA (490 nucleotides) under uncultured bacterium. Its description in RNAcentral is "partial 16S ribosomal RNA". It matches the Rfam family "Bacterial small subunit ribosomal RNA", at positions 30 to 507 of the family's 1533-position model. The record is from RNAcentral.
AUUGAACGCUGGCGGCAGGCUUAACACAUGCAAGUCGAGCGGUAGCACAAGAGAGCUUGCUCUCUGGGUGACGAGCGGCGGACGGGUGAGUAAUGUCUGGGAAACUGCCUGAUGGAGGGGGAUAACUACUGGAAACGGUAGCUAAUACCGCAUAACGUCGCAAGACCAAAGAGGGGGACCUUCGGGCCUCUUGCCAUCAGAUGCGCCCAGAUGGGAUUAGCUAGUAGGUGGGGUAAUGGCUCACCUAGGCGACGAUCCCUAGCUGGUCUGAGAGGAUGACCAGCCACACUGGAACUGAGACACGGUCCAGACUCCUACGGGAGGCAGCAGUGGGGAAUAUUGCACAAUGGGCGCAAGCCUGAUGCAGCCAUGCCGCGUGUGUGAAGAAGGCCUUCGGGUUGUAAAGCACUUUCAGCGAGGAGGAAGGUGGUGAACUUAAUACGUUCAUCAAUUGACGUUACUCGCAGAAGAAGCACCGGCUAACUCCGUG